Ochotona princeps (American pika) is the source of this 91-nucleotide small nuclear RNA. Lineage: Eukaryota; Metazoa; Chordata; Mammalia; Lagomorpha; Ochotonidae. The record is from Ensembl.
GCACAUAUACUAAACUGGAACGAUACACAGAAGAUUAGCCUAGCCCCUGCGCAAGGAUGACACGCAAAUUCGUGAAGCGUUCCAUAUUUAA